Non-coding RNA from Stomoxys calcitrans (stable fly), 47 nucleotides. The record is from Rfam. Lineage: Eukaryota; Metazoa; Arthropoda; Insecta; Diptera; Muscidae.
UCGAAGGCCCUUUUCAGGGCCACAAAAUACUAUUAAAAAAGAGACUU